RNAcentral lists this ribosomal RNA (710 nucleotides) under uncultured eukaryote. RNAcentral describes it as "SSU rRNA". It matches the Rfam family "Eukaryotic small subunit ribosomal RNA", at positions 618 to 1327 of the family's 1831-position model. The record is from RNAcentral.
GUUAAAAAGCUCGUAGUUGGAUCUCGGCGGGCAGGGGGUGGUUCGCUCUUCAGCGCUACUGCCCCGCUUUGCCCGUGUGAUUGGCGGAGGUUUCGGGGUGCUCUUCGUUGAGUGACUCGGAGCGCCGUCAGGUUUACUUUGAAAAAAUUAGAGUGCUCAAAGCAGGCUUUUCACGCUUGAAUAUUCGUGCAUGGAAUAAUGGAAUAGGAACUCGUUUCUAUUUUGUUGGUUUUCGGAAAUCGAGUUAAUGAUUAACAGGGACAAUUGGGGGCAUUAGUAUUCAGACGACAGAGGUGAAAUUCUUGGACCGUCUGAAGACUGACUACUGCGAAAGCAUUUGCCAAGAGUGUUUUCAUUAAUCAAGAACGAAAGUUAGAGGUUCGAAGGCGAUCAGAUACCGCCCUAGUUCUAACCAUAAACGAUGCCAGCUAGCGAUCUGCCGAGUUUUUUUUGUAGGCUCCGCAGGAAGCUUUCGGGAAACCAAAGCUUUUGGGUUCCGGGGGAAGUAUGGUUGCAAAGCUGAAACUUAAAGGAAUUGACGGAAGGGCACCACCAGGAGUGGAGCCUGCGGCUUAAUUUGACUCAACACGGGAAAUCUCACCAGGCCCGGACACUGGAAGGAUUGACAGAUUGAGAGCUCUUUCUCGAUUCGGUGGGUGGUGGUGCAUGGCCGUUCUUAGUUGGUGGAGUGAUUUGUCUGGUUAAUUCCG